GUCCUAGUCUUAACUGUAAACGAUUCCAUCUUAGAAUUGGGUGAAUAUUUGAUGAUUCAUCCAGCGCUAUAAGAGAAAUCAAAGUCUUUGGGUUCUUGGUGGAGUACGAUCGCAAGAUUGAAACUUAAAGGAAUUGACGGUUUUGCACACCAUGGAGUGGAGCCUGUGGCUUAAUUUGACCCAACACUGGGAAACUCAUCAGGACAACAAAGUUUUAGGAUUGACAGAUUGAUAGCUCUUUCUUGAUUGACUUAAUGGUGGUGCAUGGCCGUUCUUAGUUGGUGGAGUGAUUUGUCUGGUUAAUUCCGUUAACGAACGAGACCUUAACCUACUAACUAGUACGACGUGACGAACGUUAGUUACUUCUUAGAGGGACAAUGUGUAUUUUUAACACAAGGAAGUUUAAGGCAAUAACAGGUCUGUGAUGCCCUUAGAUGUCCUGAGCCGC
This 448-nucleotide ribosomal RNA is filed under the name uncultured eukaryote. RNAcentral describes it as "SSU rRNA". It matches the Rfam family "Eukaryotic small subunit ribosomal RNA", at positions 1017 to 1490 of the family's 1831-position model. The record is from RNAcentral.